UACAGAGGUCUCAAGCGUUGUUCGGAAUCACUGGGCGUAAAGCGUGCGUAGGCUGUCUCGUAAGUCGUGUGUGAAAGGCGCGGGCUCAACCCGCGGACGGCACAUGAUACUGCGAGACUAGAGUAAUGGAGGGGGAACCGGAAUUCUCGGUGUAGCAGUGAAAUGCGUAGAUAUCGAGAGGAACACUCGUGGCGAAGGCGGGUUCCUGGACAUUAACUGACGCUGAGGCACGAAGGCCAGGGGAGCGAAAGGG
RNAcentral lists this ribosomal RNA (253 nucleotides) under uncultured bacterium. RNAcentral's name for it is "partial 16S ribosomal RNA". It matches the Rfam family "Bacterial small subunit ribosomal RNA", at positions 524 to 776 of the family's 1533-position model. The record is from RNAcentral.